This 350-nucleotide unclassified non-coding RNA is filed under the name soil metagenome. RNAcentral describes it as "partial contains 5.8S ribosomal RNA, internal transcribed spacer 2, and large subunit ribosomal RNA". The stretch from base 1 to 120 matches the Rfam family "5.8S ribosomal RNA", at positions 35 to 154 of the family's 154-position model. The record is from RNAcentral.
GAUGAAGAACGCAGCGAAAUGCGAUAAGUAAUGUGAAUUGCAGAAUUCAGUGAAUCAUCGAAUCUUUGAACGCACAUUGCGCCCGCCAGUAUUCUGGCGGGCAUGCCUGUUCGAACGUCAUUUCAACCCUCAAGCCCAGCUUGGUGUUGGGGAUCGGCACAGGCGCCCUCGGGCGCCCGCCGUCCCCUAAAUCUAGUGGCGGUCCCGCUGCAGCCUCCUCUGCGUAGUAGUUUUCUCCUCGCAAGGGCAGCUCGGUGGCGACCUCGCCGUAAAACCCCCAACUUCUGAAAGGUUGACCUCGAAUCAGGUAGGAAUACCCGCUGAACUUAAGCAUAUCAAUAAGCGGAGGA